Molecule: long non-coding RNA, 546 nt
Organism: Bombina bombina (fire-bellied toad)
Lineage: Eukaryota; Metazoa; Chordata; Amphibia; Anura; Bombinatoridae
Exons: 3
Source: RefSeq, a predicted model, not a curated record
GGUCGUUAUUCGGCUCCAUAAUUGAAAACGCUGGCAAUGAUAUCAGCAGCACUAUGAACAGAGGGCAAUUUUAUGAAGGAUGGAAUAAAUUAUUACAGAAAUUAUAAACUUUUCCUUGGAUCUAUUUGCAUAUUACGGCAUAGGUGAGUGCCGUAUGGAUUGGAAGAAGAAAAACUUACUUACAAUGCCCGUGGAGGUUCCUGGGCAUUUCCCACAGUAAUUGCACAGCGGACCGCAUAGACCGGUGACACCUAUACCUACAACGUAUCCAUCAGAUCCGAGAAGAGCGAAGUGAGCGACAGCACUGUUCUCACACACUACAGGUGGAGAGUCACAUAAUCGGAGAGUCGGAUGAUGUCAGACGCCGAGAAGCAGUUGUGAGUAGUGGAAGCAGAGCGGUGGUUAUCGGUGUAUUGGAUCCGAUAAGCCAUUGGGGUGAGCCGCAGCAGAGUUUGGUGCUGUUGAGUUAUAAACUCGCCAAAGGGGAUUCCUAAGGAUACGGGACAAGUUUGAGGACAGCACCGGGAAGGAGGACAGAGUGUGUCA